Molecule: long non-coding RNA, 557 nt
Filed under: Lathyrus oleraceus (garden pea)
Lineage: Eukaryota; Viridiplantae; Streptophyta; Magnoliopsida; Fabales; Fabaceae
Description: Pisum sativum (pea) long non-coding RNA (PSAT_LNC034669)
Source: RNAcentral
AAUCGGUGCCAACGAACCAUCAGAGCACUCUAUCCAUGAGAAUGCUUACGGAUUGGCCCGUUAUGCCGUCAUAUGCCAAGAGAACGGACUUGUCCCCAUUGUUGAACCUGAGAUCCUUGUUGAUGGUUCACACGAUAUUCUCAAGUGUGCUGCCAUUACCGAGCGUGUCCUUGCCGCAACUUACAAGGCCUUGAGUGAUCAUCAUGUCAUCCUUGAAGGAACUCUCUUGAAGCCAAACAUGGUGACACCCGGAUCUGAUGCACCAAAGGUUGCACCUGAGGUUAUUGCCGAGCACACCGUUAGAGCUCUGCAGAGAACCGUCCCUGCCGCAGUUCCAGCUGUUGUUUUCUUGUCUGGUGGACAGAGUGAAGAAGAGGCCAGUGUUAACCUCAAUGCCAUCAACCAAAUCAAAGGUAAGAAGCCAUGGACUCUUUCCUUCUCUUUCGGAAGGGCACUUCAACAGAGUACCCUUAAGGCAUGGGGUGGAAAGACAGAAAAUGUGAAGGCAGCUCAAGAUGCUUUGUUGACAAGAGCUAAGGCUAAUUCUGAGGCUACUC